GGGUCGAUGCUCGAGUGGUUAAUGAGGAUGGUUUGUAAAACCAUUGGCUAUGCCUACACUGGUUCGAAUCCAGUUCGACCCA
RNAcentral lists this transfer RNA (82 nucleotides) under Pedinophyceae sp. YPF-701. RNAcentral's name for it is "tRNA-Tyr". It matches the Rfam family "tRNA". Rfam says of the family: Transfer RNA (tRNA) molecules are approximately 80 nucleotides in length. Their secondary structure includes four short double-helical elements and three loops (D, anti-codon, and T loops). Further hydrogen bonds mediate the characteristic L-shaped molecular structure. tRNAs have two regions of fundamental functional importance: the anti-codon, which is responsible for specific mRNA codon recognition, and the 3' end, to which the tRNAs corresponding amino acid is attached (by aminoacyl-tRNA synthetases). tRNAs cope with the degeneracy of the genetic code in two manners: having more than one tRNA (with a specific anti-codon) for a particular amino acid; and 'wobble' base-pairing, i.e. permitting non-standard base-pairing at the 3rd anti-codon position. Lineage: Eukaryota; Viridiplantae; Chlorophyta; Pedinophyceae. The record is from RNAcentral.